Carassius gibelio (silver crucian carp) is the source of this 505-nucleotide long non-coding RNA. RefSeq lists it as uncharacterized. Lineage: Eukaryota; Metazoa; Chordata; Actinopteri; Cypriniformes; Cyprinidae. The transcript has 3 exons. The record is from RefSeq and is a predicted model, not a curated record.
CGAAAGGACUGCUAUGUCCUAUUCGUUAUUGGCCUGAUGAUCAACCUGACUGAAGAUACAGACUCUUUCUUCAAGGAGUAUGUGGCCACUGAGGAGAUUGUACAGAAGACAUCAGAGUUGUGAUUGAGGGCAUUAAGGUUUUGAGCAACCUAGACUGCGUGAUCCUGGCAUUCAUCAAUCAGUCUCAUUUAUGCUCUUGAUCUUAGUUCUCCUGAAAACCUAAAGUACACCUUCGAGUUUAUCCAGAAAACCUAAUGAACUUUGAUGGACUUGAAUGCAAAGAUCCUGCAACUCAAAGUCAAGCUGUUUGCAUGAGAUGUGCAAUAAUGUGAAUUAUUUGAAAAUACAUGCAGGUGCGCACACACACAGAAGUACAUUUCCUUUUUUAUAAAUUCUUACAUGCUUUUUUUUUUUUUUUACACACUUUUUGUGUAUUUCUUGUUAGUCAUUUAUGUCUUUUUAGGGAUAGUUCACCCAAAAAUGAAAAUUGUCAUCAUUUACAGAU